RNAcentral lists this long non-coding RNA (507 nucleotides) under Homo sapiens (human). RNAcentral describes it as "HSALNT0035071". Lineage: Eukaryota; Metazoa; Chordata; Mammalia; Primates; Hominidae. The record is from RNAcentral.
GUGGGACCUGAGAUCCCUGCCCACUCUCUCCCCUUCAUUGGCUGCCCAGGCCACUGGCCCCAGUUCUCAGUGUCCCUUGGGUCCAGGCUCCUUGGGCCCUAAGCAUCACCAGAAGGGAGUAAGCAGGGAGAGAAGCAAUAUUACUCCCUCCCCUACACCAGGGACUUGCCCCAGGGCAGCCAGCACCAUGGGCAGGCCCUGCCAUGGACAGAAAAAGAGUUUUUCUCUUGUUCAGCCUGCACGUGGCCUGAGGAAGGAGUAGAGGCUGGGUUGGCUGGAGCCGUCCUACUGGGCAAGAUGGCGCCCCACUUGGAGGGCGGUGGUCUGUUACAGGGUGUGCAGGGGCAGAGAAGGAAGGGACCAGGGGACUGGGCCAGUAUGUGGAGGAUGGGGCCUGCGUGUUCAAAGCCAAGGCCCGCCCCUUCCUUGUGCUCAAAUGGCCAAAGCUGUUCACGUCUGUGCUCAACCAUCUGCUUCAAAUUGAAGUAAAAGCCCCAAAAUGUCAAG